AAGUCGUAACAAGGUUUCCGUAGGUGAACCUGCGGAAGGAUCAUUACCGUGCCCGCGGCCGCCGGCCCCCCCUGUAAACAGAGGAGGCGUCUGGCCGGCGCCGCGUUUGGCCCAACCGUGUCUAUCUGUACCUGUUGCUUCGGCGGGCCUGCGGGUCUCGCUCGCUGCCGGGGGCCCUUGAGGUUCCGGGCGCGCGCCCGCCGAAGACACUUGGAACUACUGUUGAAGUUGGCGGUCUGAGUAGCUUGAUAAUUGUUAAAACUUUCAACAACGGAUCUCUUGGUUCCG
Molecule: unclassified non-coding RNA, 288 nt
Filed under: fungal sp.
Lineage: Eukaryota; Fungi
Description: partial internal transcribed spacer region
Rfam family: Eukaryotic small subunit ribosomal RNA (bases 1-46)
Source: RNAcentral